Molecule: ribosomal RNA, 479 nt
Filed under: Staphylococcus aureus
Lineage: Bacteria; Bacillati; Bacillota; Bacilli; Caryophanales; Staphylococcaceae
Description: bacterial SSU rRNA
Rfam family: Bacterial small subunit ribosomal RNA
Source: RNAcentral
GGAAACCGGAGCUAAUACCGGAUAAUAUUUUGAACCGCAUGGUUCAAAAGUGAAAGACGGUCUUGCUGUCACUUAUAGAUGGAUCCGCGCUGCAUUAGCUAGUUGGUAAGGUAACGGCUUACCAAGGCAACGAUGCAUAGCCGACCUGAGAGGGUGAUCGGCCACACUGGAACUGAGACACGGUCCAGACUCCUACGGGAGGCAGCAGUAGGGAAUCUUCCGCAAUGGGCGAAAGCCUGACGGAGCAACGCCGCGUGAGUGAUGAAGGUCUUCGGAUCGUAAAACUCUGUUAUUAGGGAAGAACAUAUGUGUAAGUAACUGUGCACAUCUUGACGGUACCUAAUCAGAAAGCCACGGCUAACUACGUGCCAGCAGCCGCGGUAAUACGUAGGUGGCAAGCGUUAUCCGGAAUUAUUGGGCGUAAAGCGCGCGUAGGCGGUUUUUUAAGUCUGAUGUGAAAGCCCACGGCUCAACCGUGG